UAUUGAUGUUUAGUCCUAAACACUAGGUACCAGGAAUCAUGUGAAGUAUAUUGUUCAUUGAAAGGUCUGCAGAAUAUUAUGAGGACCUGUCGUACUAUUUUUUCUUUUCAGGUGAAAAAAAAAAACCUAAAGCUCAGAAAGAUGAGGGAAUUUGCCCAACGUCCCAGGGGGUGCUGGCUCUCUGACUGCAGCUGUAACUUCAACUUGCCAACGUGCACCAUUGCUCACAAGAGGACCAGAUGAGAGAGUGUGAGUGAAUUUAUUGCCAACCCUUUCUACUCUCCAAACAAAACAAUUUUGUAGAUUUGUUACUGAUGCACCAUAGCGCCAUCUUCCUAUACAAAUGACACCACUUCAUUAUUUUCAGUGUAAAUGGUAACAGAGAUCGUGAAGAGACAGUACAAAUUAUCUUGAGCUAUUGUCCUAUUUAUAGAUUAAAGUACAAUUAUGCUUUCCGCUGAUUU
Non-coding RNA from Vicugna pacos (alpaca), 464 nucleotides. Lineage: Eukaryota; Metazoa; Chordata; Mammalia; Artiodactyla; Camelidae. The record is from RefSeq and is a predicted model, not a curated record.